This 477-nucleotide ribosomal RNA is filed under the name uncultured organism. RNAcentral describes it as "partial 16S ribosomal RNA". It matches the Rfam family "Bacterial small subunit ribosomal RNA", at positions 333 to 801 of the family's 1533-position model. The record is from RNAcentral.
ACACUCCUGCGGGAGGCAGCAGUGGGGAAUUUUGGACAAUGGGGGCAACCCUGAUCCAGCAAUGCCGCGUGAGUGAAGAAGGCCUUCGGGUUGUAAAGCUCUUUUGUCAGGGAAGAAACGGUAGUAGCGAAUAACUAUUACUAAUGACGGUACCUGAAGAAUAAGCACCGGCUAACUACGUGCCAGCAGCCGCGGUAAUACGUAGGGUGCAAGCGUUAAUCGGAAUUACUGGGCGUAAAGCGUGCGCAGGCGGUUGUGUAAGUCAGAUGUGAAAUCCCCGGGCUCAACCUGGGAAUUGCAUUUGAGACUGCACGGCUAGAGUGUGUCAGAGGGGGGUAGAAUUCCACGUGUAGCAGUGAAAUGCGUAGAUAUGUGGAGGAAUACCGAUGGCGAAGGCAGCCCCCUGGGAUAACACUGACGCUCAUGCACGAAAGCGUGGGGAGCAAACAGGAUUAGAAACCCCAGUAGUCCCAUGAU